RNAcentral lists this ribosomal RNA (253 nucleotides) under uncultured bacterium. RNAcentral's name for it is "partial 16S ribosomal RNA". It matches the Rfam family "Bacterial small subunit ribosomal RNA", at positions 524 to 776 of the family's 1533-position model. The record is from RNAcentral.
GACGAGGGGUCCAAGCGUUGUUCGGAAUCAUUGGGCGUAAAGCGGGUGUAGGUGGCUCUAUAAGUCAGGAGUGAAAGCCCCAAGCUUAACUUGGGAAGUGCUUUUGAUACUGCAGAGCUUGAGUGUGGGAGAGGAUCGUGGAAUUCCAGGUGUAGUGGUGAAAUACGUAGAUAUCAGGAGGAACACCUGUGGCGAAAGCGGCGCACUGGACCACAACUGACGCUGAGGCGCGAAAGCUAGGGGAGCAAACAGG